RNAcentral lists this ribosomal RNA (217 nucleotides) under Campeiostachys nutans. RNAcentral describes it as "Elymus nutans partial small subunit ribosomal RNA". The stretch from base 48 to 217 matches the Rfam family "Eukaryotic small subunit ribosomal RNA", at positions 693 to 864 of the family's 1831-position model. Lineage: Eukaryota; Viridiplantae; Streptophyta; Magnoliopsida; Poales; Poaceae. The record is from RNAcentral.
GGGUUUACCCAUAGGUCAGGCUUAAUUGUCUGUACUGGUGAGAUAAAUCUCUACCUUCUGAGGAACUUUCAUGUCAUUAAUUUGGUGUGAUUGGAAAUCAGGACUGUUACUUUGAAAAAAUUAGGGUGUUUAAAGCAGGCGUAAGCUUGAAUACAUUAGCAUGGAAUAAUGAAAUAGGACGUUUGAUUCUAUUUUGUUGGUUUCUAGGAUUGACGUA